Molecule: ribosomal RNA, 1987 nt
Filed under: Borreliella garinii IPT86
Lineage: Bacteria; Pseudomonadati; Spirochaetota; Spirochaetia; Spirochaetales; Borreliaceae
Description: bacterial LSU rRNA
Rfam family: Bacterial large subunit ribosomal RNA
Source: RNAcentral
ACUAAUUGAGAUAGGGCCUGUCAAAGGGUACCAAACUCAGUUAAACUCCGAAUGCUAUUAAAUGAUGAAUAGGAGUGAGGCUAUGGGCGAUAAGGUUCAUAGUCGAGAGGGAAACAACCCAGACCAACAGCUAAGGUCUCAAAAAUGUGUUAAGUGGAAAAGGAGGUUUAGGUACGUAAACAGCCAGGAGGUUGGCUUAGAAGCAGCCAUACCUUUAAAGAGUGCGUAAUAGCUCACUGGUCGAGUACUUAAGCGCCGAUAAUGUAACGGGGCUAAACACAUUACCGAAGCUUUGGAUCUUGACGAAAGUUAAGAUGGUAGGGGAGCGUUCUGUAAGCCAGAGAAGUUAAGCUGGAAAGUUUGAUGGAGGUAUCAGAAGUGAGAAUGCAGGUAUGAGUAACGAAAAAAUGGGUGAGAUCCCCAUUCGCCGAAAACCUAAGGUUUCCUGGGUAAAGGUCGUCUUCCCAGGGUUAGUCGGCCCCUAAGGCAAAGCUGAAAAGUGUAGUCGAUGGGAAACGGGUUAAUAUUCCCGUACCUCUUAUAGUUUCGAUGGAGUGACGCAUGAGGUUAACUACUGCUAGGCGAUGGUUGUUCUAGUUUAAGCAUUAAGGUUAUGAUCUUAAUAGGAAAAUCCGUUAAGAGAGCUGAGAUGUGAUGAUGAGUGUUAUUUAGGUAGCAUGAAAUGUAGGUAGUCAAGGUGCCAAGAAAUAACUUCUAAGGUUAGGCUAUAAGGGACCGUACCGCAAACCGACACAGGUAGGUGGGAUGAAAAUUCUAAGGCGCGCGAGAGAAUCCACGUUAAGGAACUCUGCAAAAUACGUACGUAACUUCGGGAUAAGUACGACCUAAGCAAUUAGGUAGCAUAAAAAUGGUCCAAACGACUGUUUACCAAAAACACAGGUCUCUGCAAAUCUGUAAAGAGAAGUAUAGGGACUGACACCUGCCCGGUGCUGGAAGGUUAAGAGGAGAUGUUAGUUUAUUCGAAGCAUUGAAUUUAAGCCCCAGUAAACGGCGGCCGUAACUAUAACGGUCCUAAGGUAGCGAAAUUCCUUGUCGGGUAAGUUCCGACCCGCACGAAUGGUGUAACGAUUUGGACGCUGUCUCAACGUGGAGCUCGGUGAAAUUGAAGUAUCGGUGAAGAUGCCGAUUACUUGUGGUUAGACGGAAAGACCCCGUGAACCUUUACUAUAGCUUGGUAUUGAGAUUUGAUUAAAUAUGUGUAGGAUAGGUGGGAGACUUUGAAGCUAUCUCGUUAGGGAUAGUGGAGUCAAUCUUGAAAUACCACCCUUGUUUAAUUAAGUUUCUAACUUAUAGAAAUAUAAGGAGAGUGCCAGGUGGGUAGUUUGACUGGGGCGGUCGCCUCCUAAAGAGUAACGGAGGUGCGCAAAGGUUACCUUAGAGUGGUUGGAAAUCACUCUGUAAGUGUAAAGGCAUAAGGUAGCUUAACUGUAAGACUGACAAGUCGAACAGAUACGAAAGUAGGUCUUAGUGAUCUGGCGGUGGCAAGUGGAAGCGCCGUCACUUAACGAAUAAAAGGUACUCCGGGGAUAACAGGCUUAUCCUUCCCAAGAGUUCACAUCGACGGAAGGGUUUGGCACCUCGAUGUCGGCUCAUCGCAUCCUAGGGCUGGAGCAGGUCCUAAGGGUAUGGCUGUUCGCCAUUUAAAGCGGUACGCGAGCUGGGUUCAGAACGUCGUGAGACAGUUUGGUCCCUAUCUGCCACAAGCGUUGGAUAUUUGAGAGGAGCUAUCUUUAGUACGAGAGGACCGAGAUGGACGAACCUCUAGUGUACCAGUUAUCCUGCCAAGGGUAAGUGCUGGGUAGCUACGUUCGGAAAGGAUAACCGCUGAAAGCAUCUAAGUGGGAAGCCUUCCUCAAGAUGAGAUAUCCUUUAAGGGUCCUGGAAGAAUACCAGGUUGAUAGGUUAGAAGUGUAAGUAUAGUAAUAUAUUAAGCUGACUAAUACUAAUUACCCGUGUCUUUGGCCAU